RNAcentral lists this ribosomal RNA (2718 nucleotides) under Triticum aestivum (bread wheat). RNAcentral describes it as "partial small subunit ribosomal RNA". The record is from RNAcentral. Lineage: Eukaryota; Viridiplantae; Streptophyta; Magnoliopsida; Poales; Poaceae.
AUGGACGCCGUGCCGGAGGACCUCCGCUGCAAGCGCUCCGACGGCAAGCAGUGGCGCUGCAGCGCCCCUUCCAUGCCCGACAAGACCGUCUGCGAGAAGCACUACGUCCAGGCCAAGAAGCGCGCCGCCUCCUCCGCGCUACGCGCUACGCUCCGCAGGUCCUCCCCCUCCUACGCCGCCGCCUCCUACGCGCCGCCCCGUGAGGGCGACGCCGACGCUGACCUGCCCCUGCCAAUGGCUGUCGCGAGGCCCUUCUACGGCAGUGUCGUCGGGGAGCCUGUCUACGUGGCGGAGCCGGCGGUGCGGAGGGGGCUGCCCCUCAUCAAUGCUAUCGGCUCGCGCACCGCAGCGGAGCUAGUCGGGAGAGCCUCUGUAGGGCUGCAAGGCUGUGCCGAGGUGAAGACGAGUUGCCACCAAUGCCGGAGGAGUGUCAGUGCCGUUUGGUGUACCAGCUGUGACAGGAGGGGGUAUUGCGGCGGCUGCAUCUCCAGAUGGUACUCUGACAUUGCAAUAGAUGAUAUUCAAAAGGUUUGUCCAGCAUGCCGUGGCAUUUGUAACUGCAAAGUUUGCUUACAAGGAGACAACGUAAUUAAGGCAAGGGUGCAGGAGAUAUCUGUUGUAGAUAAGUUGAAAUAUCUUCAUAGCAUUUUGGCAUAUGUUCUUCCAGUGCUAAAGCAGAUUUACUCCGACCAAUGCUUUGAAAUAGGUGUUGAAACAAGAGCUUAUGGGCCCAAGAUGGACAUCAUUAGGGCAAAGAUGAAUUCUGAUGAGCAAAUGUGCUGUGACUUUUGCAAAGUGCCAGUGUUUGAUUAUCAUCGACACUGUCCAAGAUGUUUGUAUGACUUAUGCCUUGACUGUUGUCGAGAUAUUAGGCGCUCUCAGACAAAUGUAGUCAGAGGAGAAUAUGCUGAAAGUAAAGGUCCUGUGGUGGAGACAAAUAAAGAUAGUGCGAGUGACAGAGCAAGAUUGGAACCAUCUGCAGCAAGUGUCAACGAUAAGUUGUUCCCAGAGCCGAUAGAUGCAAAUGAUAUUGGCAUCAGAUCUUUGUUUCCUACAUGGAGAGCCAACAAUGAUGGCAGCAUCACUUGUGGGCCUCAUGAGGCUGGUGGUUGUGGCUCCUCAAAGCUGGUAUUAAGGCGAAUAUUCAAAAUAAACUGGAUUGGUAAGCUUGUAAAGAGUUCUCAAGAAAUGGUUAAUGGUUGCAAAGCACAUGAUCUUGAGAAUGGAUGCUCAUCCUGUCACGAUAGCAGAAGAUUGGACUCAAUUGGUCGCCAUAACUUUGGUCUCUCAAAAUGUUCAGAUAGUGAUGGUAUUGAUGGGAACUCUGUGUACUCUUCUGUACUGGAGAACUUAAAAUACGAGGGUAUUGUCCAUUUCCGUAAACACUGGAUAAAUGGGGAGCCUGUAAUUAUUAGGAAUGCAUUUGAGCCUUCUUUAUCAUCAAGUUGGGACCCGUUAAGCAUUUGGCGAGGAAUCCAGGAGAUCAUGGAUGAAAAAAUGGAUGAAAAUGCGAUAGUUAAAGCUGUGGACUGCUCAAACCAAUCAGAGGUGCAUAUCAAGCUCAACCAAUUUAUCAAAGGUUAUUCAGAUGGUCACAAGGGAGAAGAUGGCAAGUUAAUUAUGCUGAAACUGAAAGAUUGGCCUCCAGUGAGCGUAUUAGAGGAGUUUCUGUUAUGCCAGCGACCAGAGUUCAUUGUCAAUUUUCCCUUAGUAGACUUUAUCCAUUCUAAGUGGGGCUUUCUUAACCUUGCGGCUAAGUUACCCCCAGAUGCCCUACAGUCUGAAGUAGGCCUAAAGCUGCUUAUUGCAUAUGGAAGGCAGCAACAACCUGGUAAAAGCGAUUCAGUGACAAAUCUGAUGGUUAAGAUGGGUGAUGUGGUACACAUGUUAAUGCAUAGAGCUGAAAUGCGUUACCUAUGUCCAAAGAGUCUACAACCUGAGCAGCCGGAAAGGAUUGCCAAUGGGAUGGCAGUGCAUGUAAAUGCUCAUGCACCUGUGCAAAACUUGAAUCUGGAUAUGGGGGAACAAUCACCUGAACACACAGUUUCUAAGUCUUGCGGCCCUUCUGCAGGCUCUUCUGCUGAGCUAUCAAGUUCAUCACAUUCAGAGCAAGCAAAAACUAAUGGUGUAGAAAGAUCUCAGCCUGGUGCUCUUUGGGAUGUCUUCCGCAGGCAGGAUGUGCCGAUGCUGAAUAAAUAUUUAGCUUCUAACUGGGAGGAACUUACAAAUAACAGUCAGGCGAUGCUCUCUGUGAAGCAUCCUAUUUAUGAUCAAGCUGUAUAUCUCAGGGAGCACCAUAAAAGGGUAUUAAAGGAUCAAUAUGGAAUUGAACCUCGGACAUUUGAACAACAUAUUGGCGAGGCUGUUUUUAUUCCAGCUGGCUGUCCUUACCAAGUAAAAAAUCUCCAGUCUACGGUUCAGUUGGCUCUGGAUUUUUUGUCGCCUGAGAGUUUGCGGGAGUCGGCUCGUAUGGCCCAAGAGAUACGCUGCCUGCCAAAUCAUCAUGAUGCAAAACUGAAGAUGCUUGAGGUUGGAAAAAUAGCUUUAUAUGCAGCAAGUUCCGCUGUCAAAGAAAUUCAGAAAAUAACCCUUGAUCCCAAUAUCUGUGCCUUUCUCAGGUUUAAUCUGGAUAUCAGAUUUGAGGAUCAGAACCUAACCCGGGCAGUUUCAGAGAACUUGGCUAGAGUCACUAAACAACGAAAGGUGUCUUGUGGUUGA